UCGUGAGCUUAGAAUUAUAAGGUUCUAUCUCCACUUUUGGUCGAAAUUGAGUUUUUGACAUAAUCUGAUCCAUUAGGUGUUUAUUAAUGCCAGUGUGGUGUUAUUUUUGUAAAAAAAAAAUAUUUUGUUAGUAGUUAUUAAUAAAAUAAAAAGGUUCCAUCUCACAAAACAUAAACCGAGUUGGGAUUAUAAGGUUCUAUCUCCAGUAGAUUCAAUAUCCAAUCAAAACCCUGAAUGAACACGGACGGACCAAUCAAAACCGACCUCUUAGCUCUGUAGCCUGGACACAGAGCUAAGGACUGGACAUUUGAAGCCGGCGAUGGCGCCCAAAAGACGCAAAUGUACAGACGCCAGCACUAGAAGAGAUCGAAAUGAUGAUAGUGGUGAAAGUCCUCCAAAGGUGGGCGCGGCAAAGAGGACAGCAGAUUCUAGUGGUUGGUACUUCUAUAGAUGGGUGGAAUUUCUCUUGUAUUUACCGUGGCUUUGUUUGUACAAUACCCAAACUAUGUUCUCAGUGUCAUAAAACAAAAUAAUAAACUGACACAUUAUUAUAAUAUUGGAUCAUGUAAUAAUAAAGAAUAUUUAGCUUGUC
Molecule: long non-coding RNA, 592 nt
Organism: Rhinichthys klamathensis goyatoka
Lineage: Eukaryota; Metazoa; Chordata; Actinopteri; Cypriniformes; Leuciscidae
Exons: 2
Source: RefSeq, a predicted model, not a curated record